Molecule: ribosomal RNA, 451 nt
Filed under: uncultured bacterium
Lineage: Bacteria
Description: bacterial SSU rRNA
Rfam family: Bacterial small subunit ribosomal RNA
Source: RNAcentral
GCGGGCGUAGCAAUACGUCAGCGGCAGACGGGUGAGUAACGCGUGGGAACGUACCUUUUGGUUCGGAACAACACAGGGAAACUUGUGCUAAUACCGGAUAAGCCCUUACGGGGAAAGAUUUAUCGCCGAAAGAUCGGCCCGCGUCUGAUUAGCUAGUUGGUGAGGUAAUGGCUCACCAAGGCGACGAUCAGUAGCUGGUCUGAGAGGAUGAUCAGCCACAUUGGGACUGAGACACGGCCCAAACUCCUACGGGAGGCAGCAGUGGGGAAUAUUGGACAAUGGGCGCAAGCCUGAUCCAGCAUGCCGCGUGAGUGAUGAAGGCCCUAGGGUUGUAAAGCUCUUUUGUGCGGGAAGAUAAUGACGGUACCGCAAGAAUAAGCCCCGGCUAACUUCGUGCCAGCAGCCGCGGUAAUACGAAGGGGGCUAGCGUUGCUCGGAAUCACUGGGCGUA